This 497-nucleotide ribosomal RNA is filed under the name uncultured bacterium. Its description in RNAcentral is "partial 16S ribosomal RNA". It matches the Rfam family "Bacterial small subunit ribosomal RNA", at positions 28 to 507 of the family's 1533-position model. The record is from RNAcentral.
GACGAACGCUGGCGGCGUGCCUAAUACAUGCAAGUAGAACGCUGAAGAGAGGAGCUUGCUCUUCUUGGAUGAGUUGCGAACGGGUGAGUAACGCGUAGGUAACCUGCCUUGUAGCGGGGGAUAACUAUUGGAAACGAUAGCUAAUACCGCAUAACAAUGGAUGACCCAUGUCAUUUAUUUGAAAGGGGCAAAUGCUCCACUACGAGAUGGACCUGCGUUGUAUUAGCUAGUAGGUGAGGUAACGGCUCACCUAGGCGACGAUACAUAGCCGACCUGAGAGGGUGAUCGGCCACACUGGGACUGAGACACGGCCCAGACUCCUACGGGAGGCAGCAGUAGGGAAUCUUCGGCAAUGGGGGCAACCCUGACCGAGCAACGCCGCGUGAGUGAAGAAGGUUUUCGGAUCGUAAAGCUCUGUUGUAAGUCAAGAACGAGUGUGAGAGUGGAAAGUUCACACUGUGACGGUAGCUUACCAGAAAGGGACGGCUAACUACGUG